GCGAACGCUGGCGGCAGGCUUAACACAUGCAAGUCGAGCGGGCACCUUUCGGGGUGUCAGCGGCGGACGGGUGAGUAACGCGUGGGAACGUGCCCUCUGGUUCGGAAUAACUCAGGGAAACUUGAGCUAAUACCGGAUACGCCCUUUUGGGGAAAGGCUUGCUGCCGGAGGAUCGGCCCGCGUCUGAUUAGCUAGUUGGUGAGGUAACGGCUCACCAAGGCGACGAUCAGUAGCUG
RNAcentral lists this ribosomal RNA (236 nucleotides) under Methylobacterium sp. ISO320_OTU1059. RNAcentral's name for it is "partial 16S ribosomal RNA". It matches the Rfam family "Bacterial small subunit ribosomal RNA", at positions 29 to 289 of the family's 1533-position model. Lineage: Bacteria; Pseudomonadati; Pseudomonadota; Alphaproteobacteria; Hyphomicrobiales; Methylobacteriaceae. The record is from RNAcentral.